Molecule: long non-coding RNA, 498 nt
Filed under: Homo sapiens (human)
Lineage: Eukaryota; Metazoa; Chordata; Mammalia; Primates; Hominidae
Description: non-protein coding PVT1:36
Rfam family: Pvt1 oncogene conserved region 7 (bases 114-250)
Source: RNAcentral
CAGAGCCAGUCUUGGUGCUCUGUGUUCACCUGGUUCAUCUGAGGAGCUGCAUCUACCCUGCCCAUGCCAUAGAUCCUGCCCUGUUUGCUUCUCCUGUUGCUGCUAGUGGACAUGAGGACAGAAUAACGGGCUCCCAGAUUCACAAGCCCCACCAAGAGGAUCACCCCAGGAACGCUUGGAGGCUGAGGAGUUCACUGAGGCUACUGCAUCUUGAGACUCAGGAUGAAGACCCAGCUUGGGGCUGUCAAAGGUUUUUUGCAUGUCUGACACCCAUGACUCCACCUGGACCUUAUGGCUCCACCCAGAAGCAAUUCAGCCCAACAGGAGGACAGCUUCAACCCAUUACGAUUUCAUCUCUGCCCCAACCACUCAGCAGCAAGCACCUGUUACCUGUCCACCCCCACCCCUUCCCCCAAACUGCCUUUGAAAAAUCCCUAACCUAUGAGCUUUGAAUAAGAUGAGUACGAACUUCAUCGCCCACGUGGCGUGGCCGGCCUC